GGGGGCGUAAGGAUUCGACGGGGAUAGAGAGGUCAAAAGGAGCAGGACGAGUCACCGCAGGCUCGUAAAAAUGCGGUAAAAAAUAACUGCUGACAAUCAGUUAGCACUAGCUGCCUAAUUAGAUAGGCAGAGGUCAUUCCUGCCUUAGCCUGCGAGGCAGGAAAUGGCCUGACCCUAGCAGGUUAACCCUUCUUCCUCUGCUCACAGGGAGAAGGGGAAAUUAAAGGUGAGCUUACUUCUAUAGCCCUGCCUCUGGGGUACUAUAGAAGGAAAUCUAAACAGGGGCUAAUCCUGUAGGAGCCUUUUGGCUUCUCAUUCUCGGACGCGGGUUCGAUUCCCGCCGCCUCCACCA
This 352-nucleotide transfer-messenger RNA is filed under the name bacterium. Its description in RNAcentral is "DUMJ01 sp014360335 X1 Standard tmRNA". It matches the Rfam family "transfer-messenger RNA". From Rfam's summary of the family: Bacterial tmRNA, also known as 10Sa RNA or SsrA, is named for its dual tRNA and mRNA-like properties. Its role is to liberate the mRNA from a stalled ribosome. To accomplish this part of the tmRNA is used as a reading frame that ends in a translation stop signal. The record is from RNAcentral. RNAcentral also lists the same sequence under 1 other name.